RNA transcript from Apodemus sylvaticus (European woodmouse), 10905 nucleotides. It is a transcript of the gene named family with sequence similarity 110 member A, with no coding region annotated. The record is from RefSeq and is a predicted model, not a curated record. The transcript is spliced from 5 exons. Lineage: Eukaryota; Metazoa; Chordata; Mammalia; Rodentia; Muridae.
UGCACGUGUGUGAGCACACACACACACACAGAGGCAUAGAGAGAGACAGAGAGACAGAGAAUACUGCAGGCAAUGUGCACAUGUAGAAGCCAUGUUCCAGUAUUAGGCAGUCAUGUGAUUAGGUUCUGCAGAUAAUUUUAUUUGUUUGUUUGCUUGUUUGUUUAUUAUUUUAUGUUUAUGGGUGUUUUUGUCUCAUAGCAUGUCUGUGUACCACAUGUACCUGGUGCCUGGUGGAGGCCUAAAGAGGGAAGGGCAGUGGAUUCCCUGCAACUGCAGUUACAGACGGUUGUGAACUGCCUGAUAUGUUCUGGGACUCGAACUCUAAUCCUCCGGAAGGGCAUCCGGUGCUCCAUCUGUGUAAUCACUGAGCCGUCCCUGCAGGUACUUUACAAGGAGAAAUGUCUGAGAAGAAGAUGGGAACCCUGCCUGCUGGAGCUGACUAGGGCGGAUGCUGGGCCCUUUGCACGGUGCUUUUCCUUUAUCUAAGGUAUGGUGUGACGGUCAGAGCCCAGCAGCUUGGUCCGCGAAGAGAGUCUGAGCCACAUGGGUUAAAGAAGACACUAAAGGUUUGGGGUUUGUCUCAUGGAGGAGCUGACCUGUGACCUUUGCCCACCUUACCUAAGAGAUGGAUGGAUUUUUACCUCCUAACAGAUGGAUAGUUUUUGACCUUGUCUGAACUGUUCUGGGAUGCUGUAGAUGCCCCUGCAGUGGACAUAUUGCUUCUUGCCUUCCAUUUCCUCGGUUACUUAUCUCAGCUCUGCCCAUUGCUGGUCUUCAUGACCCCUGGUCUUGUCCUGCACAGAAAGGAUUAUCCUCUUGUUUUAAGCCUCUGUUGCUGUCAUGUCCAAGUUCUUAUAUCUGCACCUGGUGCCGGAGUGAGGUCUGAUCAGACAAUGGGAUGUGCACGUUAGGAGGGACGUGGGUGUCUGAAGCUCUUGGGUGAUGUGCACGGUUCCCCAUGAGCAGAGAAUUGUGGGAGCCCGCGUGCGCAAACACUUGAUGAGAUCCAGCUCAAGCAGAGGGUGGUGAGUGGUGCCUGCCUAGGCUGAGGCUGCUGUGUUGGCACCCAUGGGCUUUCCUUACCACGGAGCCCAUCACCGGGACGAGGUGUAGAGUACUUGCUUCUGCUUCUAAGACUGGAGUUCUUGGAUGUGCUCAGAUAAAUACUAUCAUUUAUUUGUUUGGGUGGAAGCCAGUCUUUUCUUAGAAGCACAGUGUUUCCAUGGCAUACCAAGGAGGGUCCUAGAAACUGCAAUGCCUAUGUCACAGGAAAGUCACAUGUAGUUUAACUGCCUCUGAAUUCCUCUACAAAAUCAUAUUUUCCCCAGAAUAGCUUUCUUUCCCUUUUUAGUGUGUGUGAACAUGUCUGGCUCUUCCUCACAUGCCUGACUUCAUGUAGAGACACACUUUAAGGGCCAGAACAAACUGAACACACCUGUAGCCCUCACAAAGGUUGGGAAGCCAGCGCUCCCAGGACCAUGGGCUCUGCGCCGAGCCUCCUCCAGUGGAGAUGUGCCUUACACUGUCUGAGUUUACUACUACUUACUCAUUAUCACCUGUUGCUUCUCCAAGGCUAUUUUUCAGUGUGCUUUCUGAAUUCCAGCUCUGGUCACAGCCCUUAGGCCCAGGGACACAGAUGUAGGGGGGUUAGACAAUCUUUCACCUCUCUUUGGGACUUAUUUUCAAACUGUGUUCCCAUGGAACCCUGAGGCCAUUUCCCAAACAGCAGGAAAAAGAAAAGGUUCCUGGAUUGGCUUCUGUGUUUGAAGUGAGCCCAAGAGCCUUUGGGAUCCAUUUCUGAGUUUCAGUAGUGACCAUGAGCAAGAAGCAGGGGAUGAUGGGAAAACAUAGCAGUACCCUAGGUCACUCUUAGUGCACUAGUCACCAAUUGCACUGUAGUUGUGUGGGUUCUAAUCCACUGUUCUCUCAAUCCAUUCUAUCCCUAGAGUCUAGGCACAAUGGUUUCUAGACCCUGGGUGGGAAGCGGCAGGUGUUGCCCACCCAGGAAGGGGCUGGGACAGUCAGGAGACACUCAGGUUCUAUAGCCCCACCCUCACUGCCUCCCAGACCAGAAUCAACACCUGAGCUCUCUGCUAGGGCUGGGAGCAUAGUGCAGCAGGAGGAUACUUGUCUAGCAUGUGCCUGGACAGUCAGGAAACCAGAAACCUCUUGUGAGGCAGAGGGCCCAGCAGUGAACUUCACUUUCUCUGUGAGUUUCUAGUGCUGGUUAGCAGUGUCCAGAAGAUACUGAGUUUCAGUUGUUUUCCUUUGACUAGCUCACAGGGGAGUGAGACGGAGACAGGGUUCAUCCGGAGCAGAUGGUUUGGGUCUCCAAUACUCCUGUAGCCCCUUGCGUGAACCUUUAGCCAUGUGAUGCCACUUUCCCAUGCCUCAGUUUCCCCAUCUAUGAAAGGGGGGGUCUACUGAGCUAUCACUGAGUGGUUAUGGGGCACUGGGGAUAUCGGAAGGCAGGCUCCUGUGCUGUGGAAGUGGCAUGGAAAGUAAUUCCUUAAGUUGUUCAGAGAAUGGACAGUAUAUGGCUCUGUCCCUGGGCCUGAUGACUUACUAGUUCAUAGGGAUCUCACAGGCCCCACCUUCCCUCUGCAAGGGGGCAAAGCUAGAGAAUAGUUUGUGGGUUUUUUUUGUGCCAGUGCUGAAUUCAGGGCCUUGAAUUAGUACCACAGGGACAUGAAAGCCAACUGGAAAUGGAUCGUUCUUCCAUGGCAGCCUAUGGAAACCUAGACUCUUACUCUAUAGUAGGGACCCUGGGUAGAGGCAGCUUCAGAAGUCACGAAGAGCCCUGGCUAUAGGCUGAACAUUCGAAUUUCUUCUUAGAGUUCUAGGGCCCCUGAGGGCCUUGACCCAGAGGAACACAGUUCCAGGAGGGAAGCACGGUCUGUCAGGAGCCUGAGGAUGGAGGCUGGCUGGUAGGAUGGGGCUAGAGGGGAGGGAGGCCACAGGUCCUAUUCCCUUCCUGCCACUUAGGAGAUGUCACUACUGUGUCAGUUCCUCUGUCCAGGGAAGAGAGCUCUGGCUGGGGACAGCAGAGCUACCCCAGGCAUGGUUACUCCAUUUCAGGUCUAUUAAAUCCAUGAGUUCUAUCUCUAUUACCUUAGUCUAUAUCCUAAUGUCUCCGAGACUUGGUGUCUACACUUGUAACUCUGGGCAACAGAGACUACUGGGAGCCAGAGGCUGUUACCCAGUGUGUCUCCUGGUGACCUCAGAAAGGAGUCCCUCUCUUCCGCUGUAGCCUAAGGCCAAGCCAUGCAUUUACCUCCUUUCUCUAACCCCAGCUGAUCCAGCAUCUGAAGGACUAACAGAUGACAGAAAUGGGAGAGCACUCUUCUGCUUACAGGUAACAUCUGAGGUCUAGGUGGGCAGACAUGUUUCAUACUGACCAUGAGUUAAGGGGGUGAAACAUCAGGAGCUGUCUGUGCACGCUUGUGUGUGUGAGUGUGUGUGUGUGUGUGUGUCUAAAUGUGUGUUUUGUGCUUAUGGUUGGAAGGCCACAGUCUUCCUUCACUUGUCCUCAGCCUCCAGUCACACUGGCUUCCUGUGGUUACAGAACUUCACUAAACUCAUGCCAACGGUGGGGCCUUUGCCUUGUCUGUUCUUCCUACAGCUCUUUAUCUGCCUCCGUCCUUUGAACCUGCUUAGUCAUGGAUGUAAAGACUGUCUUCUUAGGGGCUGGAGAGAUGGCUCAGCAGUUAAGAAUUUGUUGCUUUUGCAGAGGACCCUAGUUCAGUUCCCAGAACCCCAUGGUGACUCACAACCAUCUGUAACUCCAGCUUCAGGGUUCUGAUAUUCUCUUCUGACCUUCUUGAGUGCUAGAAAUGCACAUGGUGCUUAUAAAUACAUCCAGGCAACACACACACACACACACACACACACACACACACACACGUGCAUACACAUGUACACACACAUGCACACAAACAUACACAUGCACACACUUGCACACACAUGUGCACACACUUGCACACACAAGCAUACAUACACGUGCAUACACAUGCACACACACAUGCACACACACAUGCACACACUUGCACACACACACAAGCAUACACACAUGAACACAUAUAUAUAUACACAUGAAGUAAUGUGGGCUGUUUAUUUAUGUAUUUGUUUGAUUUUGAGAUAGGGUCUCACUCUAUGGUCACUUUGUAGACCAAGCUGACCUUGAACUCACAGAGGUCUGUCUGCCUUUGCCUCUUGAAUAUUGGGAUGAAAGGCAUGAGCCACUAGUGUGCUAAGGUAAAAUAAAUAAAUAUAAAAAAAAUGUCUCCUUAGGGCUGGGGAGAGGCUCAGUCAGUAAAGUGCUUGAUACACAAGUAUGAGGACCUGCGUCAGAUCUCUAGCACCACAUAAAACAUGGGCAUGGUGAGGCGUGUCUGUAAUUUCAGCACAGAGAUUUGUGUCCAUUGGGCAGUCAGUCUAGGAGUUCCAGGUUCAGUGAGAGACUCUGUCUCAAAAUACAACAUGGAGAGCAACUGGGCAAGACACCCAGUGUCAACCUCUUGCCUUCCCAGCACACACACAUAAAAAGGAAAACACACACACACACACACACACACACACACACACACACACACACACACACACACAGAGACACACGACCCAGAUCUCCUCCUUAGAGGUCUCUUAGUUGUCUCCUCUGUAAUUCUCUGGUCUGUCCUGCAUAUUGUCUGCAUUUGUGGUAUAGUCUUUAUUCUCCUCGUCCUGACUACUUUUAAUUUGCUCUUUGGUUGUCUUCCUCUAAGCCUGUUCAGUUCAGGCUGUAGACAUCUCCCUACAGAUGAACAGGCUGUAGACAUCUCCCUACAGAUGAACAGGCUGUAGACAUCUCCCUACAGAUGAACAGACUGUAGGCAUUUGCCUACAGAUGAACAGGCUGUAGACAUCUGCCUACAGAUGAACAGGCUGUAGACAUCUGCCUACAGAUGAACAGGCUGUAGACAUCUGCCUACAGAUGAACAGGCUGUAGGCAUCUCCCUACAGAUGAACAGACUGUAGGCAUCUCCCUACAGAUGAACAGACUGUAGGCAUCUUCCUACAGAUGAACAGGCUGUAGGCAUCUCCCUACAGAUGAACAGGCUGUAGAUAUCUCCCUACAGAUGAACAGGCUGUAGGCAUCUCCCUACAGAUGAACAGGCUGUAGAUAUCUCCCUACAGAUGCUCUAUCCCAUCACCCCUCCAGGCCUUGGUCCAGGUAGGUCUUCAACCAUUCCAUCUGUACAAGUGAAUGCUCCCUUACAGAAUGAUUGAGCGCAGUUGGACCCAGCAGGUCCAACGCUGCACAUCUCUGAAAAGCUGCUCUAUCAAAGAGGGUGCUGAUACAGUUGCCAAGGCAACAAUUUCUCUUUCCAAGGCUUCUUUAAAAGAGAGAAGCAAAGGCUCAGACAAUGAUGAAAAGGAAAACCGGAGAAGAAUUCAUUUCUGAAGCCACUAAGGGACCCUUCCAUGAGAACUGCCUGUUUCCUCCCUCCCUCCCUCUGCUAGGAGCCACCUUCCUUCUUGUCUUUGGUUAGGGCCCUGGUAUGAACACGGUGAGCUUCAGUAUAGCAAUGCUCUCAGGAACAGUGUGUGCUGCCUGGCUGCCUCGACUGGGACCCAGCAGGCACCAGUGAGAACAGGUUGGUUUGGAGAUCUUUCCAGAAAGUUCCUUUAGCCUUGUGAUGGGCAGCAAGGACAGCACUUUAGUACUUUUGUUUUUGUUUUUGUUUUUGUUUUGUUUUGUUUUGUUUUGUUUUGAGACAGGGUUUAUCUGCAUAGCCCUGGCUGUCCUGGAACUCACUCUGUAGACCAGGCUGGCCUUGAACUCAGAAAUCCGCCUGCCUCUGCCUCCCAAGUGCUGGACUUUAGUACUUUUAUGGCAGGGGGACACAUGUCUCCAGAGAGCUGAAGGAAGGAGGCCGCUCGGUGGCGCAUGCGUGCUGGAGUGAUUGGCCAUGCACCUGGAUGGAACUCUCUCUUCCUUCACCACAGAAAUGGUAGGACACUGAGUGGAGGCAAGAAGAGAUAGCAAAGAUUUGGGGUAGGAAUUUCAGCUGCAAACCUUCCUGAUCCUGUUUGCAGGACUCCAAGCCAUCCCUGUCCCUGCUGGGCUCGUCCAGCAGCUGUGAUCUGGAGCUUACCCACUGGACCAGACAAUCUGGCCAGUGAACCCUAGGGACCCACCCAUCUCUGCCUCUGCUGGGAUUGCAGAGGCAAUCAUCAUGCCCAUCCUUUCAUAUGGGUUCUGGGAAUAAGCUCGCUUCUCAUGAUGUGUCCAUGCGGGUACUGUACUGACCGGGCCGUCUCCUCAGCUCAGGAACUGGCAUUCAUGGUCACCUGUGUCCUGCCAGGAGACUGAGACAUUGACACACGUGGCUUCAUUCCUUCAUAGCACAGCACAGCUGGAAGGGAGCAUCACUGAGCCCACUUCUCAGGACUCCUCCUAGACACCUGAGGGAACCUGCAGUACCGAUGGGGACCACGAACAAACCAAGGCAGGAAGAAUGAUUGGGGCAAGCUGGCCAGGGUCAUCUGAGCUGAGAGGUUUCGACCCCCAGUGCUGCUGAGAACACCGUGGAGAUGACUGGGUAAAACAGCUCUUAUGCAACCAAUGAGCAGCACACCCCAGGACGGACAAGGAGCCAGGAAGAAUGGUGUGAACAGCAAGCUCUCCAUCCCUGGCCAGCUGCAAUUCCCUCUGAUGUGGCCACUGGGAGGGAGGCCCCCGUGGCCUUCCCCACAGUGGAGCCUGCUUACAACCCGCUUCUAUGAGCUCACUCAGCACUACCUUCCCAAGGGGAAUGGCUGAGUUACAGGAACGCUGUACCAGGCCACACUUCUGCAAAGUCCCCUGGACUAAAGCCACUGCGUAAAAGGAAUACUUCAUUCUGGAAUCUGCUUGAAGCUCUUGCUCUCCCCCUGCUCCCCCUUCCGAGAGCCAACAGUUCCAGCACACUGAACAUUGACUGUGAGGAUUGCCAACAUACAGACAGGAUUCUUCUGAUAUCAAGAUGUUUUCAAAUAAGAAGUCAAAAUAGCGAUGAGUCAUGCUUGAGGUCUGUGCACACAUGACCUUUCUCUUUUCCCUUCUGCAAACCUGCAAUUUGUUAGGAAUCUCACAAGAAAUGCCGUUUACAGUCAAAGGAAUGUCUUAUGCCCUCGUCAACCCUGUGACCCAUGCCUUUAUCUUAUGAGAGAUGGUUUCCCAUCCAAGGCAUCCCUAGAACUAUCCUGCACCCUACUUAUUUAAAAAGAAGGAAAAGAGGUGAAAACAUUUCUUAGUGACUUUUUGAGACCUUAGAGCCAUCAAAAUUGAAAACGUGGUUUCUGCUGAGACACUUCAGCGACACCUCAAGUACCCACAGUUGAGAGUGCCUUCUCCUUUCCCAUAAUAUCUUUUUCUACUAACCCCAUGCUCAACAUCGCUUUAAAAAAUAAAAUCCAAGUCCGCCUCACACCAGCUCAUUCUGAAUUCUUUUAUCAGUGAAGCCAAGAAUCUGCGCAGAACUCAGACGGUCUCUGGCCUUGCGCAUGCCCCACCCAUGCUGCUUUCCGACCUCAGAGUCUGAUCUAGAAAGAUGGAUUCUUCCAACACUCACCAUUCUCCCUGUUGGCUCCAGUGCGAGGCCCUUCUCUAAGCUGGUCCCCGGCAACCCAGAGGGAAAGGGUGACUGCCCCUACUUGGCAACUGAGUAAACUAAGGAUGGGGGAGAUGCCAAACAUCAUCUGAAGCCAGGACUCGAGGCUGUUAAUCAGAGGACAAGAACUUCUUCUUCAGGCCCGGGCUGAGGCAUUAGCAGCCAAGGCAGACCCUGAAGAUGGCAUUCUGGAGAUGAGAGUGGGGUCAGGUACAGGCCAUGGAGGAGGUUGAUGUGACCGCAUGUGGCAGAGGCUGUACAGCCCACAGGCAGGGUCACAACUUGCGUUUCCCUGCUUGGAGGAGACAGGAAGAGAGUAUGCAUCCCAGAACAAGGUUCGGAAGGAGCAGAGGCAGGAGCAUGAUGGCCUUGGUGAAAUGUCUUCCUAGCUGGAUGCCUUCUUGCUCUGUUUUUCAUAUACUGAACCAUUUCAGCAAACAUUUAAAAUGCCCAGAGGAAACCAAGGAAACCAAGCUGGUGCAGACGGGGAGGGCCAGGAAGGCUUUAUGUAUCUGGCACCAAGCUGAGCGUACUGAUGUUGUGAAGGAGCAGACUCGCCCAGGCCCAUGGAUGCUGCGGCCCCUCUCUCCUGUCCUCCUCGCCCUCUGAGAUAGAGACGUCCCUCUGUAGAGCUUCCUGACAAAGGUGCCCACAGCUGCUCAGAAGUGACCUUCCUUCACCCCUGCGCGAUGGCCCUGUUAUGUGCUAUAGAUCAAUGGAGGCUGGGCUAGGGUCAGGUGUAGGGGGUCCGAGAGGCUCUGCUGGUCUAACUUUCUGAGGAAGGUGACUACAAUUUCAAUUCCAAGGGUUCUGAAGUAUCUCUGUCUGGAGACCCCACCAGACAUUUUCAGGUUUCACUUUACCUUGUCUUUACUCGAGGAACUUAUUAUAAUCCCCACUUCUCAGAUGAGCAAACUGAGGCUUGGGGAGUUUAAAAAACAGACAAACAGGUUCCUGUGCAAGUGGAGAGACUGGAGCUGACCUGUGUACCUGACUCCAACGGCGAUUCCCCCCCUUCUCCAGGCUCCGUGCCCUGCACACGGGUCAAUCUUUGUGCAUCCCCUCCAGGGAUAGAAAACUGAGUCCCAGAGAGGUCAGGUGAUCGCAAAGACAGAGCUGGCAGGCAUACAGAAGCCACGCCCAUGGCCUGGCUAAGGUUGGGGUGUCUCAGUUGGGACCCCCAUGUAGAGGUUCUGCAGUCCCCGGCUUUUAAGCCUCCACAACUCUGAGAAGUUGGCCUUGGUGCUUAAAGCAUGGCUCUCAUGUGACCUUACACUCCCUGGCCAUGUGAUCAGACAGGUCACCCAUCUCCUCAUGGUCCAGUCUCCUCAUCACUGACCACCUUAUCGUCUAAGGCCACCAUGAGAAUUAAAUGGUACAAUCAACACAAAGUACAGAGCACAAAAUGUGUGCCCAGUAAAUACCAGCCAUAAUUUCUCCUGUCCUUAUCCUUUGGCUACGCUGGGAGGCAGGGAUCAUGUUGGCUUCCACUUCCAAGAGAAACCAACCAUAAAGAUGACUUCCCCCACUGUCCCACAGCUGGCUGAUGCACCUUUAGGACGUGUUCCUCACCACAGCUGCAUGUGCUGCCGGCACUGGGUGGCCCUUAAGAUCGACAUAGAUACAUUCCAGGGCCACUCUGAAGUUGAAGAAACUGAAUGUGGCUGAGGGUAAAGCGGUUAGAUGUUAUGGAGGGAGUACAGCUCAUCGACGCGUAUUGGCCUUGUAUUUCCUGCUCUGAGGGAGACAGAGAGGAUGUGCAUCUUAGCCUGAGCACUCUAGACACUGGAGGAGAGAGCUAGACACACAUGGCCCUGGCCCACAGGCUGACUAGCCAAGCCACAUGGACAAAUAAACCUGUCCCUCUGGGGCAAGACAGGUCUUAGGCAGCCACUGCUGCUGCUGCUGCUUCCAGUUGAAUAUCAGCCAACUGCUCAUCCCCAGGCCAGGCCUUCUGGAACAGCAGUUUUUAAGCCCUUCUUGGAAAUAUCAUCUCAUUCCUCUGAGAAGCAGAGGCUGCUUGCUCCACCCCAUCCCCCGCACCGACUGCCCAGAAAGCCAGCGGAGAAGUUAGGAAAUCAACCCCAAGCUAUUCCAUUCGGUGACCGAGAUUUAUUUCUUGUGGCAACUGAGAUUUAUUUCUUGUUUGCAUAACCGAAAGUUGAAAAUGCCAAGAAUUUACAGGCAGCCUGGGGAGGCCAGGGCAGCUGGGAGCCCCCGUCAGUCUGGGAGGGUCUGGGGGAGGGGCAGGACCCCACACUGGACUCCUGCUGAAUGCCUUCCUAACCCUUGGCCUGCAGGCCAGGCCACUGGGCUGAGGGGCCUAGCUGUUCUGUUUGCUGCCAGGGAUCUGCACAUCAGUGAAGCCUGACUCCUUCCCUGUGUGGCUGUGGACAGAAGGACAGACGGACCCCAGCUUAGCAGCCUGGCUCAGAGUGUGCACUGGUCUUGGAGAUAGAGGCAGAAGAGGUGGUUUAAGGAUUUGGGGGGAGGCACACCUGAAGGAGAUAAGAAGAGUCAGAGAAGAGGAGAGAGAGAGGCACAAGGAGACAGACAGACAGACAGACAGAAGCAGAGAGAGAAACAGAGAAAGGUCAGAGAGACAAAUAGAAACAAAUCUAAAAAGAGAGAUAGAUACAAAGAGAGACAGAGAAAGACAUAUAGACAGAAGCAAAGAGAGAAUCAGGGAGACAAAGUAUGGGACAGUGGGCAGGCCUCGGAACCAUAAAGCAGCACUUACAGAGAACAGGUAAGUAGCGCCGAUGUGUGGUGUCUACUUCCCCACACCCCCUGAGCCCUAAGCCUUGGGAAGGACAUAGGCUAGGGCCCAGCACUGGGACCUGGACUGGGGGCUUCUCAUUCAUAGACAUGUGGGGACAGGAGAAGUCAUAGGUGGCACUCUAUGGCUGAGAGGCCUGAGACCAGGAGACACUGCCUGCAAUGAGUAACUGGCAACCCCAGUAAUGAGAAGGAGGUCUAUGGAAUAGCUGCUGGGGGAAGGCAUUCACUGGCCAGGCCCAAGGUUCUGGGUGGCUAGUUCCCUUUCUUGUUCUGUCUCACUGUCCCAACUAAAGGUUCCUGAUCUCCCUGGGAGGUCUCUGGCUAACCACUGCUGGGCCACACUGCUCAGCAGGAACCCGUUUCACUAGCUGUCUGCGCCUGCCCCCUCAUCUCUCUUGGCCACAGUAGUUGACCUGGGGGGGCAUGGAGUGGAGGACACUGAUGUGUAGCCCACAAUAGGCGUGAGUCACUGAACAGCUUUCUAGGAGAGAGC